GGGAAUGUGGAAUCCUGUUUGUUCUCUGUGGGGGUCCAUUCUAUCCCUGUGACCUGGGAAGAGGAUGGUCGCCCUAUCGGGGUGGAGGGCAUCCAGGUGCUGGGCACAGGAAACCUCAUCAUCUCAGACGUGACGGUCCAGCACUCUGGCGUCUACGUCUGUGCAGCCAACAGACCUGGCACCCGGGUGAGGAGAACGGCACAGGGCCGGCUGGUGGUGCAAGCCCCAGCUGAGUUUGUGCAGCAUCCCCAGUCCAUCUCCAGGCCAGCUGGGACCACAGCCAUGUUCACCUGCCAAGCCCAGGGUGAGCCACCGCCUCAUGUCACAUGGCUGAAAAAUGGACAGGUGCUGGGGCCAGGAGGCCACGUCAGGCUCAAGAAUAACAACAGCACACUGACCAUUUCUGGAAUCGGUCCUGAGGAUGAAGCCAUUUACCAGUGUGUGGCCGAGAACAGUGCAGGCUCAUCACAGGCCAGUGCCAGGCUGACUGUACUGUGGGCUGAGGGGCUCCCCGGGCCUCCCCGCAAUGUGCGGGCAGUCUCUGUGUCUUCCACUGAGGUGCGUGUGUCCUGGAGUGAGCCACUGGCCAACACCAAGGAGAUCAUCGGCUACGUCCUGCACAUCAGGAAGGCUGCUGACCCACCGGAGCUGGAGUAUCAGGAGGCAGUCAGCAAGAGCACCUUUCAGCACCUGGUCAGCGACCUGGAGCCCUCCACGGCCUACAGUUUCUACAUCAAGGCCUACACAC
Molecule: small RNA, 748 nt
Filed under: Pan troglodytes (chimpanzee)
Lineage: Eukaryota; Metazoa; Chordata; Mammalia; Primates; Hominidae
Description: processed transcript
Source: RNAcentral